This 1335-nucleotide ribosomal RNA is filed under the name Pediococcus acidilactici. Its description in RNAcentral is "bacterial SSU rRNA". It matches the Rfam family "Bacterial small subunit ribosomal RNA", at positions 188 to 1504 of the family's 1533-position model. The record is from RNAcentral. Lineage: Bacteria; Bacillati; Bacillota; Bacilli; Lactobacillales; Lactobacillaceae.
UUGGUUUUCUUUUAAAAGGAUGGCUCUGCUAUCAUUUCUGGAUGGACCCCGCGGCGCAUUUAGCUAAGUUGGUGAAGGUAACAGCUCACCCAAGGCGAUGAUGCGUAGCCGACCUGAGAGGGUAAUCGGCCACAUUGGGACUGAGACACGGCCCAGACUCCUACGGGAGGCAGCAGUAGGGAAUCUUCCACAAUGGACGCAAGUCUGAUGGAGCAACGCCGCGUGAGUGAAGAAGGGUUUCGGCUCGUAAAGCUCUGUUGUUAAAGAAGAACGUGGGUGAGAGUAACUGUUCACCCAGUGACGGUAUUUAACCAGAAAGCCACGGCUAACUACGUGCCAGCAGCCGCGGUAAUACGUAGGUGGCAAGCGUUAUCCGGAUUUAUUGGGCGUAAAGCGAGCGCAGGCGGUCUUUUAAGUCUAAUGUGAAAGCCUUCGGCUCAACCGAAGAAGUGCAUUGGAAACUGGGAGACUUGAGUGCAGAAGAGGACAGUGGAACUCCAUGUGUAGCGGUGAAAUGCGUAGAUAUAUGGAAGAACACCAGUGGCGAAGGCGGCUGUCUGGUCUGUAACUGACGCUGAGGCUCGAAAGCAUGGGUAGCGAACAGGAUUAGAUACCCUGGUAGUCCAUGCCGUAAACGAUGAAUAGUAAGUGUUGGAGGGUUUCCGCCCUUCAGUGCUGCAGCUAACGCAUUAAGUAAUCCGCCUGGGGAGUACGACCGCAAGGUUGAAACUCAAAAGAAUUGACGGGGGCCCGCACAAGCGGUGGAGCAUGUGGUUUAAUUCGAAGCUACGCGAAGAACCUUACCAGGUCUUGACAUCUUCUGCCAACCUAAGAGAUUAGGCGUUCCCUUCGGGGACAGAAUGACAGGUGGUGCAUGGUUGUCGUCAGCUCGUGUCGUGAGAUGUUGGGUUAAGUCCCGCAACGAGCGCAACCCUUAUUACUAGUUGCCAGCAUUCAGUUGGGCACUCUAGUGAGACUGCCGGUGACAAACCGGAGGAAGGUGGGGACGACGUCAAAUCAUCAUGCCCCUUAUGACCUGGGCUACACACGUGCUACAAUGGAUGGUACAACGAGUCGCGAAACCGCGAGGUUUAGCUAAUCUCUUAAAACCAUUCUCAGUUCGGACUGUAGGCUGCAACUCGCCUACACGAAGUCGGAAUCGCUAGUAAUCGCGGAUCAGCAUGCCGCGGUGAAUACGUUCCCGGGCCUUGUACACACCGCCCGUCACACCAUGAGAGUUUGUAACACCCAAAGCCGGUGGGGUAACCUUUUUAGGAGCUAGCCGUCUAAGGUGGGACAGAUGAUUAGGGGUGAAGUCGUAACAAGGUAACCGUA